Molecule: long non-coding RNA, 371 nt
Organism: Hippocampus comes (tiger tail seahorse)
Lineage: Eukaryota; Metazoa; Chordata; Actinopteri; Syngnathiformes; Syngnathidae
Exons: 4
Source: RefSeq, a predicted model, not a curated record
GGCUCCAGCCUCCAGCAGAAGUUCCAAUAUUUCCACUUUGCCGGCUUGAGCGGCGUGGUGAAGCGGCGUCCAGCAGAAUUGGUCACAGAUAUCCACCAUCGCCCUGUUGGUCUCAUGGGAUGGGCGUAUUAUUAUUCCCCCAAGCUCAACGGGAGUACAUGGAACCAUCAACAAUUAAAGCUGAGAAUGACAGCAGCAUGAUGAAUGCAGUCCGCUCACCUUCACCUUUUCCACUUCGCUCACCGCGAUGCUUCGAUCAUGCAUCUUCAAACCAUCCGGCCGCUCUGAUGUAGAGCCAGAGGAGAAGCAGGACCAAGGCCUCAGUCCUUCCUGCCUUCAAAUGGCACCGCUGGGAAACCGCCAGGGAGCAG